UACAGAGGGUGCAAGCGUUGCUCGGAUUUACUGGGCGUAAAGCGUACGCAGACGGCACGACAGGUCGGGUGUGAAAGCCCCGGGCUCAACCCGGGAACUGCAUCCGAAACCGUCGAGCUAGAGUAUGAGAGAGGAAAGCGGAAUUCCUGGUGUAGAGGUGAAAUUCGUAGAUAUCAGGAGGAACACCGGCGGCGAAGGCGGCUUUCUGGCUCAUUACUGACGUUCAGGUACGAAAGCGUGGGUAGCAAACAGG
Molecule: ribosomal RNA, 253 nt
Filed under: uncultured bacterium
Lineage: Bacteria
Description: partial 16S ribosomal RNA
Rfam family: Bacterial small subunit ribosomal RNA
Source: RNAcentral